RNAcentral lists this transfer RNA (94 nucleotides) under Tilletia horrida. Its description in RNAcentral is "tRNA-Asp". The record is from RNAcentral. Lineage: Eukaryota; Fungi; Basidiomycota; Exobasidiomycetes; Tilletiales; Tilletiaceae.
UCUUCAAUCGUAUAGUGGCUAGUAUGCGUCCCUGUCACUCACAGCAGUGGUUAGGCGCACGGACGAGACCGGAGUUCGAUUCUCCGUUGGAGAG